This 468-nucleotide ribosomal RNA is filed under the name uncultured bacterium. Its description in RNAcentral is "partial 16S ribosomal RNA". It matches the Rfam family "Bacterial small subunit ribosomal RNA", at positions 28 to 507 of the family's 1533-position model. The record is from RNAcentral.
GAUGAACGCUGGCGGCGUGCUUAACACAUGCAAGUCGAACGGAAAGGCACUGCUUUUGUGGGGUGCUCGAGUGGCGAACGGGUGAGUAACACGUGAGUAACCUGCCCUUGACUUUGGGAUAACUUCAGGAAACUGGGGCUAAUACCGGAUAGGAGCUCCUGCUGCAUGGAGGGGGUUGGAACGUUGCGGCGGUUGGGGAUGGACUCGCGGCUUAUCAGCUUGUUGGUGGGGUAGUGGCUUACCAAGGCUUUGACGGGUAGCCGGCCUGAGAGGGUGACCGGCGACAAUGGGACUGAGAGACGGCCCAGACGCCUAUGGGAGGCAGCAGUGGGGAAUAUUGCACAAUGGUCGGAAGCCUGAUGCAGCGACGCCGCGUGCGGGAUGACGGCCUGCGGGUUGUAAACAGCUUUCGCCUGUGACGAAGCGUGAGUGACGGUAAUGGGUAAAGAAGCACCGGCUAACUACGUG